UCUUGCUACAAGUUUCUUCUUGGGUUUACACGUUGGUGAUUCUUGUAGUUGCCUCGUGCACAACCUUGUUCAUGUCUCCUUCUUUUCCUGAUCCUCUAGUUCACAGGGUAACCGUGCAGGCAACUGGUGGUGGAGUCUCGCUGGAUGAUGUGACGGCAGCCAUCGUCCAUAUUAAUCGAUUCAGUAUGUAUGCUCAAACUUUCCCUUGUAAGGCAAGACACUUCAGAGACCAAUGGUUGACAGUCACAGCUGAUACGUAGAACUGCAGGUGCACACAACAGCUGCUUCAUCAAGUUCUCUGAAAAAAGCUUGUGUUCUGGUUGAGUUAUUGUGAAGUUGUAGUUGCUAACUUGCUAUUAACUUGAAAAAAGAUAUGUUAAUUUGGUUAAUUUCCUUUGGCUAGUGUCACGUGUAAACUGAAGCAUGUAAACAAUACCAUUUUUUCUAUUUGAUGCAUCCUCUCAAAGCUGAUGUGUCUCACUUCCAUGGAAUUAACCACUUCAACCAAGAAACCAAAUUUUGUUUUACAAAAUUAAUAUCAUCUCCAAGUUCCAGCUGAGUCUCUCCAAUGGAAGUACUCCACCAAAUAUAUUUCUAAAAUCUGCAGGUUGAACGACUACCAAAUACAUAGGGUUAUACAGAAACAAUGUCAUAUAUAAUGAAGAACUUGACUAGGAAAUUAGACUUUGCUGUGAUGCCAAAUCUGUCUCUAUUAAAAUAACCAUAACAAGGAGCCACAUGGUGGCGUGUAGAGUUGAAAUGAAGUUCUCCUUUGCAAAACACUAGAUAAUGGUGUGUUCUAGACUUGUAGACCAGUUACAUCACAUAGCACAGGAGUGAACUUUUUCUUUUGCUCUCCAUAUAAUACAGAGGUCUGCACAUUGAAUUUUGUUCCUUACAUUUCAUAUAAUAAUGUUACAAAACAAUUACCUCAUGAAAACAAUAUCCACCGUAAGUUGUUGUACAAAUAGUAAGUCAAGGCAGGCAAAGUCACCAGUAAUCCCCACAAGAACAUUAGGUGUCAAAUUCCAAUAAUUAUGUAACAGCGGGUUGGUAGUGGUCGCCAUUGUUCUCACUGGUAUCUUAAUAUGUUUUUUUAUUGUUGCUAGGCUCCUCUGUUCCUGUCAGCUUCAGUAGCUCAUUGAUUAAGAUGUAUGAUUGGGUGACCAGCUGCAAGCUCUGGAUGCCAAGGGUGGAGCUUUAAAAGUACUUGAAAAAAUUGUGAUUGCCUAUUCCAUGAUGCAAAUUUCACCAUCCAGUUGAUGGGUCUGCACCUGAUUCCAUUUCAAAGUGGGAGCCUUCUCAGCAAUCUGUGAUGCUUACUCUUGCUGGCCUUCCAAGGAGAGAGGUAACAUCCAGAAAUAAUCGUACUAGCAUGUUGAUAAUUCAGGAUUAUAAAUGCCGUUUGUGGUUCUUUGUUGCUAGAACAUUCCCUUCCCGGGUCGGUUUGGUGAAUCAGCCGUUGUAUUAGUAAGCCGUUGGCACUAGUCCUUUCACGAUAAGGAUCUCUCAAUUGCUGAAAACUAACUAAAUAUCACUAUGAGAUUUUACGGUGAGGAAUGGUGAAUAUUACCAUGUUGCUAUGCAUGGUAGGAUGCCUCUCGCUCUUGAAUCAUAAUUUCAUGAAAUGUUGUUGUCAAAUGCAAAUACUCAGUGUGUUCUACAGUCCCCUUUGCAUACCUUUUGCCUUUGCUUUCUUGGAUAGUUAUUCAUUAGUCGGUGUCAUCGAUUAUAACUUCACAUCGUCAAUGUUCAGCUUGUUUUUCAAACACCUGUGGAAGUUGCUGCAGGACACAUCAUGGGGCGGACGCGAAGGCCUUCAUAGGUAGAGCAGAGCGAGGUCGAUACGGUGGCCAGGCGUGGUCUAGAGAACUGGUGGCUGGUGGUGCGUGAGUUGGAGGCGAGGUGACGUCAUUGACCAAGACGCCUCGUAUAUCCUCAUCUCGUGCCUCCGGGAGAGGAGCUCAUCGAGGAUCCCCUCUUCUCCAUGGAUCCACGAUAGAGGGUCAUAUAUGGAGGAGUGGAUUUGAAAGGAAAGAAUUCCAAUUAGUUGCUUUUGAGGAUGUUCCCGAGGCACUAAAGAACUGGUAGUCUCAUCGUAUGACGGUAUGUAUCUAUUUGGUCAUCAUGUAUAUUGUGUAAACAUAAAAUGAUGCACUGAAUGCACUGCGCUCUUUCCAAUUUUUAUUGUGUC
Long non-coding RNA from Triticum dicoccoides, 2194 nucleotides. RefSeq lists it as uncharacterized. The transcript has 4 exons. Lineage: Eukaryota; Viridiplantae; Streptophyta; Magnoliopsida; Poales; Poaceae. The record is from RefSeq and is a predicted model, not a curated record.